GACGAACGCUGGCGGCGUGCCUAAUACAUGCAGGUAGAACGCUGAAGGAGGAGCUUGCUUCUCUGGAUGAGUUGCGAACGGGUGAGUAACGCGUAGGUAACCUGCCUGGUAGCGGGGGAUAACUAUUGGAAACGAUAGCUAAUACCGCAUAACAGUAGAUGUUGCAUGACAUUUGCUUAAAAGGUGCAAUUGCAUCACUACCAGAUGGACCUGCGUUGUAUUAGCUAGUUGGUGGGGUAACGGCUCACCAAGGCGACGAUACAUAGCCGACCUGAGAGGGUGAUCGGCCACACUGGGACUGAGACACGGCCCAGACUCCUACGGGAGGCAGCAGUAGGGAAUCUUCGGCAAUGGACGGAAGUCUGACCGAGCAACGCCGCGUGAGUGAAGAAGGUUUUCGGAUCGUAAAGCUCUGUUGUAAGAGAAGAACGAGUGUGAGAGUGGAAAGUUCACACUGUGACGGUAUCUUACCAGAAAGGGACGGCUAACUACGUGC
This 496-nucleotide ribosomal RNA is filed under the name uncultured Streptococcus sp. RNAcentral describes it as "bacterial SSU rRNA". It matches the Rfam family "Bacterial small subunit ribosomal RNA", at positions 28 to 508 of the family's 1533-position model. The record is from RNAcentral. Lineage: Bacteria; Bacillati; Bacillota; Bacilli; Lactobacillales; Streptococcaceae.